UGUAUUCUAGCUGUACCGACUCAAUACCAGCUCUAUCUUCUCAACCCCAGCUCUAUCAUCUCAACCCCAGCUCUAUCAUCUCAACCCAGCUAUCUCAACUCAACUUGAAAAUGGCUUGUCCACCGACCAAAAAGAUGAAAAGUCAUGAAAUGCCUUCAUGGACUUCAAUCCUGGAACCCCUGGACCUGAGUGCAGUUCCUGAGGAUUUCCAUCUUGAGCAAGUACUUUCUCAAAAGUGCGAAGGAGCAGUGUUUAUAAAUCUUCAAUACGACACACAAGAAAUUGUGCUGCAGUGUAUUCUUAAAGGAACAGUGGGCGAGGAAUUAAUUCCGCUCAUCCUUCAAUCUGUAGACGAAGUUCCACCAAUUUCACCAAGAGAUUCACUCAAAGAAAAAAUUUUGAGGUACGAGCUCGCACCGAGUAAAGUGGCCGUACAUGACGUAAUGACUGCGUCAAAGGUAAUUUGGCCCAUACCUUCAAUCCAACAUGGGAAAGUCCGAACAAUCUGAUUGAUUCAAUUGUGGAAACGUUGGGCGAAAUUCCCAUUGACACAACGCUCUCAACCGACCAAGAUAAUAUAUCUACAUUGAAAGCUGAUUUAGAGUUCCAUGCAAGAAAUACUCUUUUUCUACAACAACAGAAAGCAGCUAGUUAUCCCAGUCUGGCUCUUUGGUGCAUUUAUAUUACUCGAACGUUGUCAAAUCAAUUUCGAGAUAAUACAUACAAGUACGGAAAUCAAUUUUCUGUCGUACGCACGAGUAAGAGAGGACCGCCUGCACAAACAGACUCAUGUGUAGUCCUGAUAGGUUCGACAGUACCCCGAUUUUUGUAUGAAUGCAAGCCACAACUCUCGCCGAAUGUAGAGCAAUUAUCGUCAAAGCACAUAAUUGAUCAUCUCCUGCAAGGCUAUUACUGUGUAAAACAUUACAAGGUCUCAAAAAUGUUUGUCUGUUUAACCGAUUUGGCCGAUUGGCAUUAUAUGCGAAUAGAAUUGAAAGAUUCAAAAAUAGCCAUAACUGGGUAUAAACAUAUUGCUGGAAUUAACAAAAAGAAGAUUUCUACAACAUCCCUAACCCUGCAUACACAAUUUAUAGUCGGGAUGGAAAGUUCAAUGUGUCAAUAAGAAUUGUCAUUGCACGUCCUACACGUAUUGUCAUUGUUGUAUUGUCAUUGUUGUAUUGCACUUUAUUGUUGUAAUGUCAUUGUUGUAUUUGUAUUGCACUUUAUUGUUGUAAUGUCAUUGUUGUAUUGCACUUUAUUGUUGUAAUGUCAUUGUUGUAUUGCACUUUAUUGUUGUAAUGUCAUUGUUGUAUUUGUAUUGCACUUUAUUGUUGUAAUGUCAUUGUUGUAUUGCUGUUGUAAUUGUUG
This is a long non-coding RNA of Halichondria panicea, 1368 nucleotides long. RefSeq lists it as uncharacterized. The transcript has 3 exons. The record is from RefSeq and is a predicted model, not a curated record. NCBI's taxonomy places the organism in Eukaryota, Metazoa, Porifera, Demospongiae, Suberitida, Halichondriidae.